GAAUAAGAAGCGAUUUUUUGCACUCAGUUUCGACCUGAAUCUAGAUAACUCAGUUAUCCUUAUUCU
This 66-nucleotide transfer RNA is filed under the name Pteronarcys princeps (ebony salmonfly). Its description in RNAcentral is "tRNA-Arg". Lineage: Eukaryota; Metazoa; Arthropoda; Insecta; Plecoptera; Pteronarcyidae. RNAcentral also lists the same sequence under 1 other name. The record is from RNAcentral.